AAAGUAAAUAUUUUGGAUGGACUUAUUCAGUUAAUUCAACAAAUUAUUUGAGAAAAAAAAUGAAGAAAUUAAACUUCAAACUUCGAAAUAUUUAACCAUGUUCUUCUUCAUAAACUUCAAAUGGACCAUGAAAUAAAGCAUCCUGUAUGGUGCGAAUUGUCUUUAGUUUCAAGUGAUACAUAAUGUAAAUAUUUUGGAUGGACUUCUUUGAUAAUCUCACAUUUUACUCAUAAAUUCAACAAAUUAUUUGAGGGAGAAAGGAGAAAUUAAUUAAGAAAUUCGUUCAUGAAGGACACAAUCAAAUACAUCCACGUGCUUACCAUGGUAAUUUAAAAUUUAUAAAGUAUUAACCGUUAAAGAGAAUAAAAGGUGUGCCAAUUACAGUGGUGCCCACAAAAUCUAAAAGAUCCUUCAUAAAAGGGUGUUAAUUCAGAAUUUGUCCGUUCAGUAUAAAAAAUUUAUUUCAAUAUCCUAUAUAUUUUUUGUCACACGUUUUAAAAAGGACGAAGAAUUUACUUUAAACAUACAAAAUUGCAGCAACUUUAGAAAUUUUUAUUGUCUUGAUAAAAGUGUACAGAAAAUAUCCAUAUUUAUGCCAGGUAUGCAGUAUAUUUGACAACAAAAAUACGACAAUAUAAUUUAUUAUAUUAUA
Long non-coding RNA from Aethina tumida (small hive beetle), 652 nucleotides. RefSeq lists it as uncharacterized. The transcript has 4 exons. The record is from RefSeq and is a predicted model, not a curated record. Lineage: Eukaryota; Metazoa; Arthropoda; Insecta; Coleoptera; Nitidulidae.